UUGAUUCCAAACUGGGCGAAAUUGUUGCUGGUCUCUCGGGACAUGUGCACGUUUCGUUCGCAAACCUCUCAUACCCCUGUGCACUUUUCAUAGGAUCGCUCGCGGCUGUUGGCCUCCCCGGCUAGUGGCUGCAGCUGUCCUGUGUUAUAUCUGUAUAAACUCGUUGUCAGUUUAGAAUGUCUAUCUUGUGUAUAUGCACAUUGAAAUACAACUUUCAGCAACGGAUCUCUUGGCUCUCGCAUCGAUGAAGAACGCAGCGAAAUGCGAUAAGUAAUGUGAAUUGCAGAAUUCAGUGAAUCAUCGAAUCUUUGAACGCACCUUGCGCUCCUUGGUAUUCCGAGGAGCAUGCCUGUUUGAGUGUCAUGUUAUUCUCGAUUCCUCUGUUCUCUUUUGAACGGGGUGAUAUCGGACUUGGAGGUAUAUUGCUGGCGAUACCGAGUCAGCUCCUCUCAAAAGUAUCAGUGUGAAGGGUCGCUUUAUGCUCAAUGUGAUAAUUAUCUGCAUUGCGCGGAGCGAUGUUGUUUCAUGCUUCCAAUCGUCUUCGGACAAAUGCAAUCAACAUCUGACCUCAAAUCAGGUAGGACUACCCGCUGAACUUAAGCAUAUCA
RNAcentral lists this ribosomal RNA (608 nucleotides) under Meripilus lavendulus. RNAcentral describes it as "eukaryotic LSU rRNA". The stretch from base 210 to 363 matches the Rfam family "5.8S ribosomal RNA". The record is from RNAcentral. Lineage: Eukaryota; Fungi; Basidiomycota; Agaricomycetes; Polyporales; Meripilaceae.